GGAGCCGGACGGGCUAGCGCUGCGCGUGUUUACAUGCGGGGAGGAAAGUCCGGGCUCCAUAGGGCAGAGCGCUGGGUAACGCCCAGGAAGAGAAAUCUUCGGCAAGUGCAACAGAAAGUAAACCGCCCUCGUAAGAGGGUAAGGGUGAAACGGUGGGGUAAGAGCCCACCGGUUGCCGUGGCAACACGGCAAGCCAGGUAAACCCCGUUCGGAGCAAAACCAAAUAGGAGAGCAUAUGGCCGGCCCGGUCUGCUCUCGGGUAGGUUGCUUGAGGCUGUGAGUAAUUGCAGCCCUAGAUGAAUGCUAGCCUCUCCCAAAAGGAUGACAAAACCCGGCUUAUAGUCCGGCUCCUAUU
RNAcentral lists this RNase P RNA (355 nucleotides) under Desulfovibrio sp. OttesenSCG-928-F07. Its description in RNAcentral is "RNase P RNA component class A". It matches the Rfam family "Bacterial RNase P class A". From Rfam's summary of the family: Ribonuclease P (RNase P) is a ubiquitous endoribonuclease, found in archaea, bacteria and eukarya as well as chloroplasts and mitochondria. Lineage: Bacteria; Pseudomonadati; Thermodesulfobacteriota; Desulfovibrionia; Desulfovibrionales; Desulfovibrionaceae. The record is from RNAcentral.